UUUAACGAGAGUUUGAUCCUGGCUCAGGAUGAACGCUGGCGGCGUGCUUAACACAUGCAAGUCGAGCGAAGCACUUUUGCGGAUUUCUUCGGAUUGAAGCAACUGUGACUGAGCGGCGGACGGGUGAGUAACGCGUGGGUAACCUGCCUCAUACAGGGGGAUAACAGUUGGAAACGGCUGCUAAUACCGCAUAAGCGCACAGUACCGCAUGGUACGGUGUGAAAAACUCCGGUGGUAUGAGAUGGACCCGCGUCUGAUUAGCUAGUUGGUGGGGUAACGGCCUACCAAGGCGACGAUCAGUAGCCGACCUGAGAGGGUGACCGGCCACAUUGGGACUGAGACACGGCCCAAACUCCUACGGGAGGCAGCAGUGGGGAAUAUUGCACAAUGGGGGAAACCCUGAUGCAGCGACGCCGCGUGAGCGAUGAAGUAUUUCGGUAUGUAAAGCUCUAUCAGCAGGGAAGAAAAUGACGGUACCUGACUAAGAAGCCCCGGCUAACUACGUGCCAGCAGCCGCGGUAAUACGUAGGGGGCAAGCGUUAUCCGGAUUUACUGGGUGUAAAGGGAGCGUAGACGGCAUGGCAAGCCAGAUGUGAAAGCCCGGGGCUCAACCCCGGGACUGCAUUUGGAAC
Molecule: ribosomal RNA, 632 nt
Filed under: Mediterraneibacter gnavus
Lineage: Bacteria; Bacillati; Bacillota; Clostridia; Lachnospirales; Lachnospiraceae
Description: bacterial SSU rRNA
Rfam family: Bacterial small subunit ribosomal RNA
Source: RNAcentral